Balaenoptera ricei (Rice's whale) is the source of this 489-nucleotide long non-coding RNA. RefSeq lists it as uncharacterized. The record is from RefSeq and is a predicted model, not a curated record. The transcript has 3 exons. NCBI's taxonomy places the organism in Eukaryota, Metazoa, Chordata, Mammalia, Artiodactyla, Balaenopteridae.
AAACCGUUGGUCGCCAUGGUUUCCAAAACAAAGUAGCAAGAGGGAGGGGGAGGAGCCCUCGUGGCUCUUCUGGAAAGGAGGGUGCAGAGAGGCAAGAAAAGAGAACGUGGCUGGAAGCGGGAGGCAAGAAGUCAUAGCUCAGGAGUUCCGGGCUUUUGGCCUUGGGCCAGCCACAGAAGAUUGUGACCGGAAAAUUUUAAAAACCGACUGCUAUAAUUCAACCCUCUUUUACUACAGUGAAGGAACUGAGGCCCAGAAAACGGAACUCUUGUGACCAAGAUCACACAGUGUUGGAAGGCAUAAAAAGAAGUGGACGGCGAAAGAAGAGAUGAAUUUGUUCUUCACGGAUAUUCUAGUUUUCAUUAGCCCACAAUGCAAAUUUUGUUCCAAAGUUCAGCAUCCCAAAAUGAUAUUAACUGACAUCUGACUUUAUUCUGACCUUUUACAGAUAAAUUUGAUAGUAUUGUUCACAUUGAAAAUAAAAGCUUG